Molecule: long non-coding RNA, 505 nt
Organism: Papaver somniferum (opium poppy)
Lineage: Eukaryota; Viridiplantae; Streptophyta; Magnoliopsida; Ranunculales; Papaveraceae
Exons: 2
Source: RefSeq, a predicted model, not a curated record
ACCUAAUGGUGGUAGAGUGGUGGUGGUGGUACCGGUGAAGCAGUAGAGGAAGAAAUUUAUUCUAUUUUGAAAUACAAGAAAAUAUUAUAUGGACGAGAGUAUCAAGUGGUUUACAUGCGUACAUGGUACAACAUCUGACUAGUGCCAUUCAAGAUCAAGAUGACACUUAAGCAUUGGUUCCCAAUUAUGAGAAAGAGAGAGUAGCUGUGCACAAAUGAAUAAUAACCAAUAAUGCUAGGUUUACGGGGGCUCAAUCCCGUGAGAAAUUCCGCUCCUCACAUGACCUGGGACCCACCACAACCUUUUCCUAUCCAAAUGCAGAGAUGCAUUCCCCUCUCCGUCCGAUCCCCUCACAGGAUUUCACCCGAGUUUUUUGGGUGCGAGUGUAGCAUCCCUCAAUAAUAACACAUUAGUAAUUCUAAAUAUUUGUUCUCUAUCAUCUUUUUCUUUUAAAAAUGGCUAAUUCUGUCUUUUACUGCUAUAAAUAAAAAAUGAAAUUAUAAGA